This is a long non-coding RNA of Bactrocera neohumeralis, 1348 nucleotides long. RefSeq lists it as uncharacterized. The transcript has 3 exons. Lineage: Eukaryota; Metazoa; Arthropoda; Insecta; Diptera; Tephritidae. The record is from RefSeq and is a predicted model, not a curated record.
ACAAUUUGUGUUUUGGUUUUGUUUCGUUUGAAUUUUGCAAAAAUGAACAGAAAGUUAAAAUAUUUAAAAACAAUAAAAAUCCUUACGUCUGUUUUAGACGGAAUACGCAUAUUGACAGAAAUUAGUGAAAUUACAAAAACAAAGAGUUCGGUCGUGUUCAGUGAGGGAAAUAAACAGAAAGAGGAAGAAGGAUGGAAGGAUGGAAGGAAGAGGAUUGACCACGCUGAUUUUUUUAUAUACACGCGAAUGACGCCACAAGUAUAUGGGCUUUUGCUUACUCUUGUUGAGCCCUUUUUAAAAAAAGAAUUCGUUGAGGGAGCCUGUGCAACCGGAAUGUCGAUUAGCUUUGACAUUACAAUAUUUGUCACAAGGAACUUCGUUUCAAUCGUUGGCAUGGUCAUUUCAACUGGGGAAGGAAACGGUUAGGCGCAUUAUUCUGGAGACAGCUGAAGUCCUUUGGACAAAGUUAGGCGCUGUUUAUGUAUCUGAGCCUAAUGAAGAAGAUUUCAAGCAAAUUUCUCAAGACUUCUGGGAACUGUGGAAUAUGCCCAACUGUGUUGGAUCUAUUGAUGGGAAGCAUAUCGCUAUUCGAUGCCCACCUAAAAGCGGUAGUCAAUUUUUCUGCUACAAAAAAAUUUUUUUUCUAUUGUAUUGUUAGCAGUGUGUGAUGCCCGAUAUCGGUUUACCUAUAUAGAUAUUGGUGCAUAUGGAAGUCAGAGUGAUGGUGGUAUUUUUCAAGUGAGUCGAGUGGGAAAGAGGUUAUUAGAUCAUAAACUUCCCAUCUCUCCAGCGAAAAACUUACCAAAUACGCAACUAAAAACUCCACACUUCUUCGUUGGUGAUGCUGCCUUUCCUUUAGGGGCAAAUUUAAUGCGCCCAUACCCUGGGGGAAUGCUACCAAAUGAAAAAGAGGUGUUUAAUAAAAGGUUAUCAAGAGCUCGUCGCACAAUUGAAAACUCUUUUGGAAUACUACAUAGUAGCGCGUUGGCGAGUUUUACUAACAACAUUACAUUUAUUUCCUGAAAAUGCAGAAAAAAUUGUUUUAGCGUGCGUUGCCUUACAUAAUUUUAUUAUGUUUAACAACGUUAAUGCAUCUUCGUAUAUUGCAAGCAACUAUGCUGAUUGACAUGACGGUUUAUGGCGUAGAGAAGUUGAAAGUAAUAUCCCAUCGAUUAUGCAAUCUUCCAAUUUGCAUCAUUACGGUGGAAGAAGUUCUUUGGAAAUUAGAAAUAACUUAUGCAGUUUUUUUAACACUUUUUAAAACAUAUUCUAAAAUCACAUAUCUAACAUCAUUUCGAACUUGUUUAUUUCUUUUUUAAUAAAACUAAAUGGAGUUUAAUUAAAUUCA